UUCUUCCAGAUCACACAUGCAUGAGUGUCACAGGAUUUUGUGGAUUCUGAGGCCGUAGGGCAAUGGGAAAGCCCAAGGACAAGAGACGCAGGUGAAGCAAGAGUCCAGGUGCUGUCAGGCUGUGCCAGAGUCCACAAAGGGGUGACCCAGUGGCCAAGGACGCCAAAAGACCUUGGUGGCAGUUUCAGUUCUGGAAUGUGAAUCCUUCAUGCCACAGAGAAAAACAUCACAGCAGGGAAAAGAUCACGGAUGCAAUGCCCUUGGUGUUCAAGCAAGAUGCUCCUUCUGUUGAAUGCUGAGGCCCU
RNAcentral lists this long non-coding RNA (305 nucleotides) under Chinchilla lanigera (long-tailed chinchilla). RNAcentral describes it as "lncRNA (ENSCLAG00000025018.1)". The record is from RNAcentral. Lineage: Eukaryota; Metazoa; Chordata; Mammalia; Rodentia; Chinchillidae.